Long non-coding RNA from Monomorium pharaonis (pharaoh ant), 7656 nucleotides. RefSeq lists it as uncharacterized. The record is from RefSeq and is a predicted model, not a curated record. NCBI's taxonomy places the organism in Eukaryota, Metazoa, Arthropoda, Insecta, Hymenoptera, Formicidae. The transcript has 2 exons.
GUCUCAAUGUGUCAAAAUUUCAAUAAUAUUAAUGAAAAACUAUUUUUUACACUUAAAUUAUGGCCAUCAUUUUUUAAACACACGGUAUUUCCAAAAUCAGACCCCAAAAGAACACUCCCGGAUACGAAUGCAACGUUGUGUCAAAAUUUCAAAGCAAUCGGUGAAAAACUUACGGAGAUCUUAUUGUUAGAUGAGGAACAAACAUUUACAUUUUUAUUUAUAUAGAUUAAAUUGAUUUAUUACGUUAUUUAUACGUUUGUUGAUUAUCAUUUAUGUAGAUGUUCUCACAAAGGGAAAGCACCUUGAUAAUUUAGAUCGAUGAUAAAAAACUUAAUUUUCUUAAAUAAUCGUAUUGGUAAGAAAGUUGCAGUAUUAGGGAAUCAAAAAUAUCGUUGUUUUCUAGCGCCAUUAUGAAAUAUUAUGCGUACCAGAAUUGAUUCGUUUUUAUCGUUCGCUCGUAAUUCGAAAAAUUGUCGAUGACGAGACAGGGGCAAGAUGCAGCUUGCUUGCGGGUCCAAGUUGCAUCGGCGCCAAACGGCAGCGUCUCACGGUUUUCGAGGUUCAGCGAGGUUAAAAGGAGUUACAUUAUCGUGAAGCGUUUGGGCGUGGGAGCAGAGAACACUGUGCGAAAGGAUCCUACGCCGACUCAUGCAUGCGCGACUAUCUUCUUGUGUGUUCUUGUACGCGCGUGGAAUUGUAUUACGACCGAUAUAUACCAAGCAAGAAAAGGAAUAUGACACAUUUUGUUUCUCUUUCUCUCUAGCUUCCUUCAUUUCUUUCGAAAUUCACAAGUUGUCGAUAUUAUUCAUAUGGCAAACUUUACGCGUUAGUCGAUAAAUACGUCAAGUGAUAUUCUUAAGAAUUUUUCCGAAUAUUUUGAUUUAAAAUAAUUAAGAUUUUUUGGUAUAUAUCUUUUUAGUUUGUUCCCUUUGUGUGCAAACCGCAGAAUGUUUUGUCAAGAUUUUUAGCGCCUUUCCCUUCCUGCUUCACCAAAUCUAUAUAUCUGACUGCUAGACCGUACUCUGUCACGGACACCGGUCUCUAGAGGGAACAGAUGAGCCGAUCUGCUCGCAGGUAGCUCGUACGCAGCGCAGCAGGUGAGCAUCGUGCGGCGAUCCUGCGCGCAAAAUCGCGUGCGUAACGCCCGUACGGAGCGCUUAUAAACAUUUUUCACUUCAAUUUCUCGCGAUCAAAUUAAUAAGGAAGUAAUAUCGCCAAUGUGAUAAAGCGAUCGCACUCUCGGAAAGUCCCACUAAUAACGUAACCGACUUGUUGCCAUAAUGAGUAACACAGUGGAAUUGUAUCAACGACGUCGUGAUCUCUCACAACGAUAAUGUUGAAAAUGCUCAAACUAAUUAAAGGUUAUAUUCAAUCAUAGUGAGAUUACAUAUAUAUUACGUUGUGUUAAAAUAUUAAAAUUAAUUCAUACAUAUAAAUUUAUUAUAACAUGCUGCUUAAUAAUUGUAAAAUUGUAAGCUAAUUUGCGAUUUGUUAUUUUGUCACCGCGAGCAUUGAACCUUCGCGACAUUCGUCUGUAGUUUAAUUCCAUUUAAAAUUGUUCUCUCUCGAGGGAGAGAAACGCUUCCUCCUGCCUGAUGUAGGAGGGAAGUAGGGAAUGGAGGUACUCGGUGACCUGAUUAUAAAACGGAUUUAGGCUUGCGUAUCCGACACGCAUAUGCGCUCAUUCGCGAUUCAUAUUUUUGGCUGCAUAGUAACUGCACUCAAACGACGAAACGUUCGAAAUGCGGUACACGUGUGCACGCUCACACACGGACGAGCAGUCAGGUAGUAAGGUGGUAGGUAGGUAGGUAGGUGCAUACGCGCAGCGUGGGAAGGUCCGGCAGCUGAGUGAGCUGAAGGGGCCCCAAAAAGCGAACGGCUGCAGCUUCUUCUUCUUCUUGCCCCGUAGCCACCGCUGGCUUCUGCCGGUCGGAUCGCUUGGUCCUUCCUCCAUCUAUCCGUGGGAGCCUGUUGCCUAGAUAGACACCCGGUGGCUGCUUUUCUCUAGGACGCAACUCUGCAGGGCAAUUCCUUGAAAAACUAUGAUGCUUGAAAAGGUUGUAAAAACGCGAGAGAAAUUGUAGACAAAAGGACUGUCAAAACAAACGUCUCAAUUAUCGAAUCCAUCGGAUGCGAGGCUUUCUUCUCGUUUACGAAAUUAUAUUUAAGACUGUUAACAAAUGACAGAUAAUUAUUGUCAUCGAUAAACUUAAUUUGAUAUAUUUUUUCCAUAAUUUAAUUUUCAGAAUAGAGAGAAUAUUAUUUUAAUCGAUUUUUUAAUUUAUCGAGAUAAAAUGUCCCGGAAAGCCUUGGAUGGAUGAUGCGUAUUUUGGAGAUCGACAUUUGGAAUUAUUGAAAUUCGAAGCGAGAUACUCCGAUGCGAGGCAUUUCGGUGAACGAUGACGGCAACGACGACGUUCACGGCGACAUCCUGUCCCGCGAGAUGAAAAGCCGUGCAUUCGGCGAAGGUUUCAUUAUUAAUUGUUCAAGUUCCUGUUCAAACAGAGAGAUUAAAUCCGAGGGGGACUAAUCCGGCACGUAAAAGUCUCUCAUUGUGCGCGUCCCGUCCCGUCCCGUGUAUCGUGUAUACGCAUCCUACUUCCUUCUGCACGUGUCCGUGUCCGCACACAGGCACGAUCUCAUACAGCGUGACAGCGACGCGAUCUCACAUUCGAAUGCGGGACAGGAAGCUUCUGCCUCCCUCGUAUAUCCACCGGGGACUCUGUUCCGCUCCUUCCCUCUCUUCUACCCUCUUCUACCUCUGGCCGCACUUCACUCCUGCGCUCUCGUUCGCUCUUAAGGGCCCGAAAAGAGACGCGCAACAAAAAUAAUAAAAAGUGCUUCCUUCCGUUCGGUUCGUCCAUACAUCUCGCAUCUGGCCUUGAGCUCGCUCUCUCAAUCUCUUCGUGUUACAUCCGAUCCUUCUCGUGACCUCUAAACUCCAUCGCUCUUUUAUCUCUUUAUGUCAUACUUAUCAUAUUAAUAAUCAAUAAUACCGAUGAAAUUUUCUCUUUCUUUCAGAUAAUUAAUUUUUGGAGAAAUCUCUUUAUUUGUCAACAAUAAUUAAACUUUUAACUCAAACUUACUUUCCUAAUUUUAUUUUUGAAUAAACUUUCGAGACUUAAAAUUAAUCAUGAAAAAUUACAUGUAAUUAAUCAUUAUUUUCUUUACAUUUUUAAUCAGCUUUUAGUUACCCUUUUUUGAUACUCCUGAUAUUUGUUCAUGCCGAAUUUUCUCCAUCUCUCUCUCUCUCUCUCUCUCUCUCUCUCUCUCUCUCUCUCUCUCUCUCUCUCUCUCUCUCGCUUUCCGACACUCGAGUCUGGCGGUUUCUAUCUUGUAAACAGCCGUACCUUCUGGUGCGCGUAACAACCGGCUGUCGGAGAAUCUCUUUUAUUAUUCUGUGAGCUAUCCUUGACGCUCCUUUCUCGUGUUAGGCAGUAGCCUUAUGGUACAAUCUGCGAAAUGGAGUCUUUAGGUAUCGGUACCUGUGCAGAUUCACGAUCGGAUGGUCCAUAAAAGUUGCAGGAACGAUAUUAAACUCCGAUAAAGAUUUUGUCUUAUUUCACCAUCGUUCAAAGAAAUCUUUAUAACGUUCAUGUAACAGAUUGACAGCGUAUAAUUUGCUUAAAAAUUCAACACGUUUAAGAUCAGAUACCAAAAAUAUAUAAAAGAGUGCGCGAAAGAUAUUUUCUUAUAUUCGUCAUUCGUUCAAAUUUCGAUGAUAAUGAUUGUCACUUCUCUUUUAUACAUAUAUUGUCAAAUUCAGAAAAAUAAACAUCGUUUGUGGCGUCGAGAGGAAACCGGACGAGGGUGGGAGAAUUUUGGAAACGCCAUUGGGCGUUUAUAGAGGUUUAAAGGGAAUGGGAAGGGUAGGACAAAGAGGAGAAUAUUGUAGUGACAGAGAUACACAUGGAAGAGAAUGAGGGCGUCGAAAUGAGAGAGAGAGAGAGAGAGAGAGACGGGGGGAGGGGACGUCGGAGAUAGUGGGCGGAAAUGGCCCGUACAGGGAGGCUGGAACCACCUUGGCUUCCGCUAUAUUGAGUGCUAAGGAUAUACACAACCACCUUGUCCCACUCGCACUCUCACGUGGCACACGUGUUGUCAUUCGUCGUUCCCUCUACGUCGUUCUACAAGGGGUGGCUCAUCGCUUCAUACUCGAAGAAAGGGAGGGGGUCGUCCAGAAAAAGAUCUCUCGAUGUCUUCACUUCUCUCUCUAUCUUUCUCUCCCUCCUCUUACUCUUUUAACUCAACUCCCUUAACUUCCUAUUACUUCGCUCGGUUCCCUUUGACGCUCGGGAGAACUUCCGGAAUUUCGCACGCCCAUUCAAAGAAGCGACGAGCACACAAACGAAGAAACGAAGUUCCGUUUAUACUUCGCGGUCGAGACGGGAGCGCGAAAGAAAGGCUGGCGACUUCGCUUCCUUCCGCGCUUCACUUCUCUUCGGCCCGGUGCUCUUUGUCGAUCGGCGCUUCUGUAUUAACCGGAACCUCUCGCCGCCGAAAACAAAACCUCACCGUCGCGAAGAGAGGAAUCGUGGACCGAAGUUUUCUGUUGUUCGUGCCGUGCUUUGUCGUGAAUUCACGAGACAGGGGAAGGGAAUGACUUCCUGUUUACUUCUCACCACCGUGCACCGGUCGUCUCUUCGUCAUCGGUCCGCCGCGCCGCCGCCCGCCCGACGUUGUCGUCGUUUCAUCGGUUUAAUCGGCGCAUCGAUUAACAAUUAAGCAUUAUCGGACUAAACGUUCGCAUUAAAUUAAGAGGCAACGUAUCUUGACGAAUGAUCGGAGGGUGGAGAAGAAUGCGCACGCGAUCAACAAAGUUACGGUUCGUUACAGCGCGUCAGAUGGUCAGUUUCACUAAAUGGACUUGAAUGCUCGCUAAUGAAGGAACAUGCCGGAUCACUUCCACGCCUCGUUCGUCUCUUCAUUUUCCUGUUGUAGCUCCAAGCCCGAAAUAAUUGAUUUAACGGCUGGAUGAUGCUUUUUCCAGUCUUAUCGUACUAAAUUAAUUUUUGGGGUAUAAACGUUCAAUUAUUUUGAAAAGGAAAACAUUACAGGCGUGGCAAAAAUUGUUUUGAAGAAGAUUAAUAGAUUUAUUUAUAUUACGUGCAAACAGUGUAGGUUUGGGUUUGAAAAAUCGCACAAUUUAGAAAUCCGAUAAAAUUGCAAGGCAGGAAUCGUCGAUCGCAUCGUGAAAGGCAAAAAUCCAGACGAAUUCUUGUCCUUGCGUCUAAAGGAGUUCUUUUUGUCCCGAAAUAACACGGCAUUCUUUGGCGUAUGUGUAAAAUACACGAGCUAUCGAAGCAGGAGAAGCGCAGGGAAGGACGUGAAACAGGCCGUUUACCUCGAAGGAGCCUUACUUUGGGAAAGUCGGCGUUCAUACGAUACGUAAGUGCCAAGUUGACGCUCGUACUUUUGUACGCGCACGAAUGUUGCGUACCACAUUUCCACGCACAGUAUCUAAUUUCAACCUGUGAAUUUUGCGUGCGACGAUGUGAAUACAUAUGUAUCGAACAAUGGCUCACGAAAGAACGUUAACUCUCGCUCAAAUUGGUAUAGACACGCGCAAAGUUUAAUAUCGCGAACGGCAAACUUAACACGCCGUUAUUCUAGAAACUACUGAUCAUUAAAUUAAUUAAAGGAAUAUUUUUAGGAAUUCUAAUCUUUGACUAGCGAUAACUUCCAUCCUCUCGAUGGUCUCUCCGAGAGAGACUUGCGAGAAAAGCCCCGCGUGCACGACGACGCUCUGUCGAUGAUUAAGGCGCAUGUUCGGUUGUUUUUAUCAUAACAAUAGACGGUUCGUCACAGUCAUAAAUGUAAGCGCGCGCGUACGACCGUAUUGUGUUCCACGGUUCCCACACGCGGCGCGUACGUGACGCGAAUUCAUCGCGCUAAUGGGAGUGCGUAUAGAACGCGCGCGUUUAAGCUUCUCUGUCAGAAGAGAGACGCCUCCGGCGCGAGAUCGCCCGAAUGAUCUCGGCUUACCAAAUCAUAAUUCGUGAGUCUGCAAGUAUGGCGAUGGUCGGACGUGCUUAUGUACGAAACGUUGUGCAUCACUUUUUCUUAUCGAAUAAAAGGGUAGACAAAAACACAAAGGAGCUGAAAGAUGUUAUUAAUCUGUAAGUUACAUCGCUCCCUCGAUUUACGCGGAGUAUUCAUGCUACAUUUUUUUAUGCAGUUGAGAAUUGCGUACAUAAAGUUUGCCAAAAAUGUAAGAGAAAACCCCAUGUGCGUUGUAAAAUUAUUUAUUGUGUAGCUAUCAAUACUUUUAUUCCAAAGCAAAAAAAGUCAUGUAAAAAAAGUGCCGCGUAAACCGAAGGACCAGAUUGUUAAAAAUCUAACCGCGUCACUAUCUUCGUUCCCUAUUUGAUAUGUAUGCAUCGUACUUUCCCCCGAGAACGCAUAUAUACAGGUAAAUGGUAAUAAGUUUGUCCGGCGUGUGACCAGAUCAACCGAGACGAUCGUGUGGAUCUUAAAAAAGGAACUGCAGUUCGUGUCGCCGUACGUCGCGUGUUGCUGGAUUUUCAAAUGCGAGCUGUGACUCAUCGCCGACUGAAAAGGCUAUUCAUUAGCAUUUACUCGAUGACGAGAAAUCUCCUAUUCUCCGAGUACAUCACCAAUUACAGGAUGCGUGGUAUCGAACGAACUGACGACCUGGCACAAAAGGUGCGACUUAUUAUCCUUUUUUACUUAGGAGGAAAGAGAGCCUCGGACGAUCGAGCUCAAUGGUACCCACUGAAAAAACCAAUUAAUUUCCAAUGAACUUGGAGAACGGCAGCUGCAUAUCAGGAAAAGCUUUUCAUACCGGUGCCUCGUCCUCCUCGUCCCUCCCCUCCCGUUAUUUCCCACUUCUUCUUCGACUAAGGACGCGUCUCGUUUUAAGAAGAAGCAGCAGGCUUCUCGACUGUCCCGCUUCCUCCCUCCGUCUUCUCCUUGUCUUUUUUCCCCGUUGUACCACUCCCACGGGGCCUUUUAGCUAAAGAAAACCCAAGAACAGAUGCUUCUUUCUCGCCGCGCGAUCUUUCUUUUUCUCGUUUCUUCUCUGCCUCCCUCUCUCCCGGUGCUGCCGGGAGCCGGGAGCAGCAGGCAGCAGGUAAACGCGAUGGUUGCAGUUCAGAUGCAAAUCGCGAGCUUUUCCGCCCUGAUUCGCUCUGCUCGAGUACCUAUCGAGAGUAUUGUCAUCCCUUCUCCGCAGAGCCCGCCUGCGACCACGACGAAGCGAGGGAGCUCGCGUGAACAUAGACAAUGGACGGUGUUCUGAUCUUUGUUAGAUCGAGAGUACGAGCGCUUAUAUUGCUCCAGAUCCAUCGAUCAUUCGAGAUCGAACGCGUUUAACAUCGUAUAUACAAAACUCGUGUAUAAAACUAUGGUUAUCAAUGCAAUAUCUAAAUCGUAUUUAUUUAACAUUCUCAGCGCGGUUACGUGAAAAUAAAUCUAGAUAGUUUCUUACUAAGAUAUUACUUCCUGAUUACAAUUGUUAUCUUGCACCUUGACUCAGAAAAUUAUCGCAGCAGUCGCGCGAUAACUUUCGUAAGUAGCGCGUGAGUUAUUUGUUUAGGAAGCUAUCUCGUACCGGGACUCGUAUGGGUGUAAGGGAAGAAAUCGAGCUGUAUCACAAGCGGGAGAGACAUCGGCUGAGGAAGAAAAGGAGUCCGA